UUGAAGAGUAAGAUCCACAAAAUCUACGGUCUUACCAAUAAGGAUGGGUGAUUUAUCAAAAUGAUUUUCCGGCUCCUCGAGUUCAUCUACGAAUGAAGGAGUAGGUAACCUCUCCCUCCUUGGUUUCUUCCCUGGCAUUUCGACCUUUGGCAUGAUGAUAGAGAAAUGGAAGAAAAGUUUAGAAGGCCGUUAACCGUCAAAAUGAGAAAAGAAGUUGGUAGUGGAAGAAAAAUGGAGUUUUUAAGUGUUUUGAAGAGAAAAAGUAAUGGGUUUUUGAUAUAUUGUUGAGAUCUUGAAGAAUAAUGGUGGAUUUAAUGAGUUUGGAAGUGAAUCUAUGAAAAGGAUGAAGAAAAGUCAGAGAAAUUAAGGUUGGAGGUUUUUUAAAACCCGAAAAAUUGUGAACAAUCUGGCUAAACUGUUCGAUCAACCGGACCCUUUUUCCCAAAAAUGUCAGCCAAUUGAUUUUUGUGCUUGAUCUAUUUGUAAACAUGAAAAAUCAAUUGGCUGACAUUUUUACUGAACUUUUAGCACUUGAUCAAUUCUCGCUUAUUCGAAGAAGUUUAGGCAUUAUUGAUGAAUUCAUAGUACAUGGUUGUGUUAAAUUCAUAAUGUUUUUACAUGAUUAACUUUUGAUAUUUAU
RNAcentral lists this long non-coding RNA (640 nucleotides) under Olea europaea (common olive). Its description in RNAcentral is "long non-coding RNA (OEUR_LNC012880)". The record is from RNAcentral. Lineage: Eukaryota; Viridiplantae; Streptophyta; Magnoliopsida; Lamiales; Oleaceae.